RNAcentral lists this ribosomal RNA (440 nucleotides) under uncultured bacterium. Its description in RNAcentral is "partial 16S ribosomal RNA". It matches the Rfam family "Bacterial small subunit ribosomal RNA", at positions 338 to 795 of the family's 1533-position model. The record is from RNAcentral.
CCUACGGGCGGCUGCAGUGGGGAAUCUUGCACAAUGGGGGAAACCCUGAUGCAGCGACGCCGCGUGAACGAUGAAGCCCUUCGGGGUGUAAAGUUCUUUCGACGGGGACGAUAAUGACGGUACCCGGAGAAGAAGCUGCGGCUAACUACGUGCCAGCGGCCGCGGUAAUACGUAGGCAGCAAGCGUUGUUCGGAAUUACUGGGCGUAAAGAGUGCGUAGGCGGUUGGCUAAGUUUGGUGUGAAAUCUCCCGGCUCAACUGGGAGGGUGCGCCGAAAACUGGCCGGCUAGAGUGUGGGAGAGGUAAGUGGAAUUCCUGGUGUAGCGGUGAAAUGCGUAGAUAUCAGGAGGAACACCUGCGGUGUAGACGGCUUACUGGACCAUGACUGACGCUGAGGCACGAAAGCGUGGGGAGCAAACAGGAUUAGAUACCCUAGUAGUC